Molecule: ribosomal RNA, 189 nt
Filed under: uncultured bacterium
Lineage: Bacteria
Description: partial 16S ribosomal RNA
Rfam family: Bacterial small subunit ribosomal RNA
Source: RNAcentral
UCUGCAACCCGACUCCAUGAAGCUGGAUUCGCUAGUAAUCGCGCAUCAGCCACGGCGCGGUGAAUACGUUCCCGGGCCUUGUACACACCGCCCGUCAAGCCAUGGAAGCCGGGAGUGCCUGAAGUGCGUGACCGCAAGGAGCGUCCUAAGGCAAUACCGGUGACUGGGGCUAAGUCGUAACAAGGUAAC